Molecule: small RNA, 426 nt
Filed under: Pan troglodytes (chimpanzee)
Lineage: Eukaryota; Metazoa; Chordata; Mammalia; Primates; Hominidae
Description: retained intron
Source: RNAcentral
CAGCAUUCUCUUAUCUUCCUUUGCCCUUACACAGACUCCAAGCCCACGGUAGAGACUCUGGGACCCACUGUGAAGAGCGAAGAGACAACCACCCCCUACCCCACCGAAGAGGAGGCCACGGAGUGUGGGGAGAACUGCAGCUUUGAAGAUGACAAAGAUUUGCAGCUCCCUUCGGGAUUCAACUGCAACUUCGAUUUCCCCGAGGAGCCCUGUGGUUGGAUGUAUGACCAUGCCAAGUGGCUCCGGACCACCUGGGCCAGCAGCUCCAGCCCGAAUGACCGGACAUUUCCAGAUGACAGGAAUUUCUUGCGGCUGCAGAGUGACAGCCGGAGAGAGGGCCAGUAUGCCCGGCUCAUCAGCCCCCCUGUCCACCUGCCCCGAAGCCCGGUGUGCAUGGAGUUCCAGUACCAGGCCACGGGCGGCCGC